This 466-nucleotide ribosomal RNA is filed under the name uncultured bacterium. Its description in RNAcentral is "bacterial SSU rRNA". It matches the Rfam family "Bacterial small subunit ribosomal RNA", at positions 329 to 792 of the family's 1533-position model. The record is from RNAcentral.
GUCCAGACUCCUACGGGAGGCAGCAGUGAGGAAUAUUGGUCAAUGGGCGGAAGCCUGAACCAGCCAAGUCGCGUGAGGGAUUAAGGCCCUAUGGGUCGUAAACCUCUUUUGUCAGGGAGCAAUGGCGUCCACGUGUGGGCGUAUGGAGAGUACCUGAAGAAAAAGCAUCGGCUAACUCCGUGCCAGCAGCCGCGGUAAUACGGAGGAUGCGAGUGUUAUCCGGAUUUAUUGGGUUUAAAGGGUGCGUAGGCGGGGCCUUAAGUCAGCGGUAAAAGUGCGGUGCUCAACGCCGUAGAGCCGUUGAAACUGGCGUUCUUGAGUGGGCGAGAAGUAUGCGGAAUGCGUGGUGUAGCGGUGAAAUGCAUAGAUAUCACGCAGAACCCCGAUUGCGAAGGCAGCAUGCCGGCUUCCGACUGACGCUGAAGCACGAAAGCGUGGGGAUCGAACAGGAUUAGAUACCCCCGUA